AAUAUCAUUUCACAAAUAGUUACAAAUAAUCAAAUAGGGUGUGCCACACAAUCAAUCCUCACUGAUACCUAUCAGAAAAUCAAAACUUAGCAACGCAAACUCAAAUCUAGAUAGUCUUCUACGGCCUUGGAUCCAACUAGCAGCAGCCAUCCGGCCAUCUUCAUUGACGGCGAGUUCUUGGGAGGCGGAGGACAAGGAGGAGCAUGGCUGAACUCUAAUUGUAGUUUGUCCCCUUCUUCAUCCUCGAAGCCUUCCACGUUGUUUUCUAUAUGCCUAUUUUAAAGCGCCAUAAUGGUCUUGAUAUGACCCAAGAACUCGUCGUCGAUGAAGAUGGCCGGAUGGGCUACUGCUGGUUGGAGCAAAGGCCGUAGAAGACUGUCUGGAUUUGAGUUUGUGUUGCUAAGUUUUGAUUUUCUGAUGGGUAUAAGUGAGGAUUGAUUGUGUGUGGCACAACCAAUUUGAUCAUUUGUAAUUAUUUGUGAAAUGAUAAUGUGGCGUAUUGAGAUUA
This is a long non-coding RNA of Quercus robur (English oak), 508 nucleotides long. RefSeq lists it as uncharacterized. Lineage: Eukaryota; Viridiplantae; Streptophyta; Magnoliopsida; Fagales; Fagaceae. The transcript has 2 exons. The record is from RefSeq and is a predicted model, not a curated record.